Molecule: ribosomal RNA, 322 nt
Filed under: Cercozoa sp.
Lineage: Eukaryota; Cercozoa
Description: SSU rRNA
Rfam family: Eukaryotic small subunit ribosomal RNA (bases 112-322)
Source: RNAcentral
GAUUUCUGGGCUCAAGAAUUUGGCCGGCCACGGUUUCGUGUGUUAGUGCUUUGUUCUGUGUCCAUCCUUCCAAUUGCUAUUCAUCUUUCUUCAUUGAUGGGUGAGUGGUAUUGGAUCUUUUACUUUGAAAAAAUUAGAGUGUUUCAAGCAGGCUUAAUGCUAUGAAUACAUUAGCAUGGAAUAAUAAUUUAGGACUUCGGUUCUAUUUUGUUGGUUUCUAGGACUGAAGUAAUGAUUGAUAGGGAUAGUUGGGUGUGCUAGUAUUCAGCGGCCAGAGGUGAAAUUCUCGGAUUCGCUGAAGACUAACUUAUGCGAAAGCAUU